AAAACUUUUGAAAAAUAUGUCUGGAUGUUUCUUGUUCACUGGUGGUCCUGUUUCAGCCUUCCUUUCCUUGGCCAUGUCUCUGAGCACUGAACACCUUGUGCUUCUGGACACUCCAGAUAGGCCACAGUUCUGGAAUAUCAUGGUCUUGGAAGAUGCUUUCCUGGUA
This is a long non-coding RNA of Thalassophryne amazonica, 166 nucleotides long. RefSeq lists it as uncharacterized. The transcript has 5 exons. The record is from RefSeq and is a predicted model, not a curated record. Lineage: Eukaryota; Metazoa; Chordata; Actinopteri; Batrachoidiformes; Batrachoididae.